GAUGAACGCUGGCGGCGUGCCUAAUACAUGCAAGUCGAGCGAACAGACGAGGAGCUUGCUCCUCUGACGUUAGCGGCGGACGGGUGAGUAACACGUGGAUAACCUACCUAUAAGACUGGGAUAACUUCGGGAAACCGGAGCUAAUACCGGAUAAUAUAUUGAACCGCAUGUUUCAAUAGUGAAAGCCGGUUUUGCUGUCACUUAUAGAUGGAUCCGCGCCGCAUUAGCUAGUUGGUAAGGUAACGGCUUACCAAGGCAACGAUGCGUAGCCGACCUGAGAGGGUGAUCGGCCACACUGGAACUGAGACACGGUCCAGACUCCUACGGGAGGCAGCAGUAGGGAAUCUUCCGCAAAGGGCGAAAGCCUGACGGAGCAACGCCGCGUGAGUGAUGAAGGUCUUCGGAUCGUAAAACUCUGUUAUUAGGGAAGAACAAAUGUGUAAGUAACUAUGCACGUCUUGACGGUACCUAAUCAGAAAGCCACGGCUAACUACGUG
Molecule: ribosomal RNA, 497 nt
Filed under: uncultured bacterium
Lineage: Bacteria
Description: partial 16S ribosomal RNA
Rfam family: Bacterial small subunit ribosomal RNA
Source: RNAcentral